Metopolophium dirhodum (rose-grain aphid) is the source of this 1657-nucleotide long non-coding RNA. RefSeq lists it as uncharacterized. The transcript is spliced from 7 exons. Lineage: Eukaryota; Metazoa; Arthropoda; Insecta; Hemiptera; Aphididae. The record is from RefSeq and is a predicted model, not a curated record.
UUCAAAGAUUAACAUUUGGUCAAUUGUGUAACUCUGUCGUCACCACAAUAAUUGUCCACAUCAGCUAUGUACAAUAAUUGUAUGUUGUCUAUGGUCGUCACCAUGGGGCUUUAGAUACAAGCUAAAUUCUAUCUAAAGCCGUAGUCGUUACCGUAUGGUUCGCGUAUCCGACAGUGAGUCGUGCGUGUGUAGUGUGUGCACGCACGCGCGCCGUAAACAAUUACAACGCACCGUCUGCCCUGUUGCGCUUUCGUUGCUACACGCCGCCUACUUAUCACCGUCCGGCGUCCGCAAAUGAUGUUUGACGCUGCCAGUCCAAUGCCGCUCACGUUCUCGCCGUACACGGUUCUCAUAAAAUGCUAGAAGUAAUAUGGCGGUCACCAAAAUAUGCUGUGUAAGCGCUUGAUUUGUGGAUGGACCCACAUACAGUAUAAUAGCAAUGCAAUGUCCACACAUAAAAGUCACGGUUGUAGACAUAAUAUGUGCUCAUCGUAUUUCACAGUGCAACUCUGAAAGUUGCACAUCUACAAACCCGGACUCGAUGACAUUGUAAAAAAUGGAAAAAUGUAAACUUGUUCUUUUCUACGAACAUUGAAGAUUCUAUCCAAGAAGCAGAUUUAAUUUUAAUUUCUAUUAAUACCCCUACAAAGACAUCUGGAGUAGGAAAAGUACAAUGAUUCAAAUACUAUAACAUCUAUGAUGGAAGCUUCAGAUUAUAUGAAUUCAUUAUUACCAACGACAAGUGUCUUCAAAUUUACCAAUGACAUGUGAAUCUUCAAACUCAGUAACGCAGGUAUAUGUAAUAUGGAAUCACAAAUGUAUGGCGUCUCAAAAUCAUCUCUUUCCGAAUACUAUUGAAAAAUUAUCUUAUCCAACAAUACAAAAUUCAUCUGAAGGGACGUGCUGCUGACUUAACAUACGUUGAAAACUGAGCUAGGAUUAUGGUCCAAGUUUCAAUAAGUGAUAAAUUUGUUGUGGAAAAGAGUACAGUACCGUUACGUUCAGCAGAAAGUAUAUUAAAAAUGUUAAGUACUAAUCACGAAUGUUAAAUUUCAAACAAUAAGUGCAGAUUAGAUUUUUGACACUGAGUUGCACUCCAAGAAAAAUGCCGACCAAAAAUGUCAAGUUCAUGAGCUGGACUUCCAUUUGAAUGGCUGCGGUUUCGGUUGGUGCCAUUUCUUCGCCUGCCCAGCGUGGUUGGAUAUAUAGUGUCAUAUUUUAUCAGCCUGAGCAUGGUGCUAGUACCAGAACAAUGGUAACUCAUGAUGGAUGUGGACCUGGAUGGCGGCGGACAGUGGUUCAAAGACUUGUCGGACGACGGUGCAAGCAUACAAUAUACGUAAACAUACGGAUUCUCAGAUCCACCGUAGAACUCCAUUCAAUAGUUCGGCGGCAACGACUGAUUGAUCCCUCAAUCCAGUGUUCGAUUCGUGAGAGCUGGUCGUGGUGCUCUGUAUAGCUAUGUGACGUAAUAAGUUACCUAUCAUCUUUGACUUUUAAUAUUAUAUAUUUGUAUUUACUUUAUAUUGAUUUACAUUUCUGUAUCUAUGAUUGUUACUUAAUUUGUUCUACUUAUUAUGCACUCUACGCCUUUGGGCGUUUAUAAUUAAAAUAAAAAAAUAAAAUAAAAUAUAUGUGUUUAUAAUACCCCGUUUGA